RNAcentral lists this ribosomal RNA (1363 nucleotides) under uncultured bacterium. RNAcentral describes it as "16S ribosomal RNA". It matches the Rfam family "Bacterial small subunit ribosomal RNA", at positions 62 to 1438 of the family's 1533-position model. The record is from RNAcentral.
UCGAACGAUGAAGCUUCUAGCUUGCUAGAAGUGGAUUAGUGGCGCACGGGUGAGUAAGGUAUAGUUAAUCUGCCCUACACAAGAGGACAACAGUUGGAAACGACUGCUAAUACUCUAUACUCCUGCUUAACACAAGUUGAGUAGGGAAAGUUUUUCGGUGUAGGAUGAGACUAUAUAGUAUCAGCUAGUUGGUAAGGUAAUGGCUUACCAAGGCUAUGACGCUUAACUGGUCUGAGAGGAUGAUCAGUCACACUGGAACUGAGACACGGUCCAGACUCCUACGGGAGGCAGCAGUAGGGAAUAUUGCGCAAUGGGGGAAACCCUGACGCAGCAACGCCGCGUGGAGGAUGACACUUUUCGGAGCGUAAACUCCUUUUCUUAGGGAAGAAUUCUGACGGUACCUAAGGAAUAAGCACCGGCUAACUCCGUGCCAGCAGCCGCGGUAAUACGGAGGGUGCAAGCGUUACUCGGAAUCACUGGGCGUAAAGGGCGCGUAGGCGGAUUAUCAAGUCUCUUGUGAAAUCUAAUGGCUUAACCAUUAAACUGCUUGGGAAACUGAUAGUCUAGAGUGAGGGAGAGGCAGAUGGAAUUGGUGGUGUAGGGGUAAAAUCCGUAGAUAUCACCAAGAAUACCCAUUGCGAAGGCGAUCUGCUGGAACUCAACUGACGCUAAGGCGCGAAAGCGUGGGGAGCAAACAGGAUUAGAUACCCUGGUAGUCCACGCCCUAAACGAUGUACACUAGUUGUUGGGGUGCUAGUCAUCUCAGUAAUGCAGCUAACGCAUUAAGUGUACCGCCUGGGGAGUACGGUCGCAAGAUUAAAACUCAAAGGAAUAGACGGGGACCCGCACAAGCGGUGGAGCAUGUGGUUUAAUUCGAAGAUACGCGAAGAACCUUACCUGGGCUUGAUAUCCUAAGAACCUUUUAGAGAUAAGAGGGUGCUAGCUUGCUAGAACUUAGAGACAGGUGCUGCACGGCUGUCGUCAGCUCGUGUCGUGAGAUGUUGGGUUAAGUCCCGCAACGAGCGCAACCCACGUAUUUAGUUGCUAACGGUUCGGCCGAGCACUCUAAAUAGACUGCCUUCGUAAGGAGGAGGAAGGUGUGGACGACGUCAAGUCAUCAUGGCCCUUAUGCCCAGGGCGACACACGUGCUACAAUGGCAUAUACAAUGAGACGCAAUACCGCGAGGUGGAGCAAAUCUAUAAAAUAUGUCCCAGUUCGGAUUGUUCUUUGCAACUCGAGAGCAUGAAGCCGGAAUCGCUAGUAAUCGUAGAUCAGCCAUGCUACGGUGAAUACGUUCCCGGGUCUUGUACUCACCGCCCGUCACACCAUGGGAGUUGGUUUCACUCGAAGCCGGAAUACUAA